Molecule: ribosomal RNA, 515 nt
Filed under: uncultured Ferruginibacter sp.
Lineage: Bacteria; Pseudomonadati; Bacteroidota; Chitinophagia; Chitinophagales; Chitinophagaceae
Description: bacterial SSU rRNA
Rfam family: Bacterial small subunit ribosomal RNA
Source: RNAcentral
AGAAGUUUGAUCCUGGCGUCAGGAUGAAGCUAGCGGCAGGCUAAUACAUGCAAGUCGAGGGGCGAGCACGAAUAGCAAUAUUUGGUGGCGACCGGCAACGGGUAGCGGAACACGUAACGCAAACCUCCCAAAACCUACGGUGAAUAAGCCUCCCGAAAGGAGGAUUAAUACACCGUACCAUAAUGAAGAGGCAUCUUUUUAUUUAUUAUAGGUCGCAAGAUCGGUUUUGGAUGGGCGUGCGCCUGAUUAGGUAGUUGGCGGGGUAACGGCCCACCAAGCCUCCGAUCAGUAACUGGUGUGAGAGCACGACCAGUCACACGGGCACUGAGACACGGGCCCGACUCCUACGGGAGGCAGCAGUAAGGAAUAUUGGUCAAUGGACGGAAGUCUGAACCAGCCAUGCCGCGUGAAGGAUGAAGGCCCUCUGGGUUGUAAACUUCUUUUAUCUGGGACGAAAAAAGGGGAUUCUUCCUCACUUGACGGUACCAGAGGAAUAAGCACCGGCUAACUCCGUG